AGUCUGAAGCAGGGCUGGGACAGAACAGCCCUGGGCGCGGUCCAACACCUCGCCAGGCCUCUAACCUGCCAGGAUCCCUCACGUGACAGGGGACUCAAUGACGUCGCCCUCUGGAAUCUUGGGGGUGCGUUCUGGGCAUUGGAGGUAAAGGAAGCGGAACGCAAUAGGAAGGGGAGCCCCAAGGCUGAGAGCGGCCCUGCGGAGCCGCAAGAAUCCGCGGAGACCCUCCUGACACCCAUUCACGGUCGACUCCCAGCAGAGGGGUCCCGCGACCCCUCCACUCCCUGCUCUCUUAGUGUGAGCGUCUGGAAUCCUGACCGCCCCAGCCAGCCUAGCCAUCCUGAUUUCUGUAUCUGAGAAUGUGGCAAGACCCAGACAUGUGGGGCACCUUACGUCAGAGGAAGUGGCUUUCUUGUUGCAGCAAAAAUGCCAGCACCUAUGUCAGAAAAAAAAUUGAGGGCUGGAAACUGUACCCGCUGAUCAGGUGCUAUCAACCUGCUAUGCUGAAGUUUACAUUCCAAGGAAAGCUUGCACAGAAACUCUGAAUUCAAUGUUGAAUGAAUAUCCCAGGAAGGAGUGGGAAUCUCUUGAAAAUCUUGUGCCACUGAAUGUUGUAACCCUGAGGUAUCCCAAGGGAGUGUCAUAAGCCAACAGCAGAAUUUUAGAAAGAACCUGGACGAAGGUCAAAUUUAUUGCCGUCAUUAACAAAUCUAGGGUAAGUUUCAGUCCCUCCUCUCUCUUUGUCUUUCUCAGAAUUAUAAUUCAAAAGGGAGCAGGUUGUUACAGAGAAGAGUAUUAAGUAGCCUCUGCUAAAUUGUCAGCUUCAAGAUUUGAUAGAAAGUAUAUUUAAAUGUAGAGUUAAGUCGAAUAUUUACAAAAAAUUAAAUGUUUACAUUUAAAUACAGUAACACGAAAAAAAUUAUAUGUAGUGUAUUAAUCGAAGUUCUCCAGAAAAAAAGAACCAAUAGGUUAGAGGUAUUUAUUUACUUCACUUAUGUAUUAUGAGAAAUUGGCUUAUGAGAUGAUAGAGGCUAAGAAGUCUCAUCAGCUGUGGUCUGCAGUCUAGAGACCCAGGAAAGCCAGUGUUGUUCUUCAGUCUGGUCUGAAGUCCUGACAACCAGGGAGCUGACAGCGUAAAUCUUAGUCCCAGGGCAAGAGGAAAUAAGGUGAAAUGUCCUAGUUCAAACAGUGAGGCAGGAAUAAAAGGGGCGACUUUCUCCUUCCUCUACCUUUUAUAGAUUAGAUGGUGCAAGGGUGAUUGGGGGGUGGGGGGUGGGGUGGGUGUAGAGGCUACAUUAUUGAGUUCAUGGAUUCAAGAGCUAAUAACAUCAUUCAGAAAUACCUUUAUAGACACAAUCAGAAAUGUUUAAUCUGAGCACCCCAUGGCAGGUCAAGUUCAUACAUAAAAUUAACCAUCACAAAGUGAUUGCUGUGGUGUACAUCCCAGAUUCUCCCUUUAAAAUCAAGAUACCGAUUUCUCUGGCUGCUUGGAAUGGUGACUUCUCACAGCCCUGUUUCCAACUUGAUGGCUGCUUACAAAUCUGCCCUUCUCAAUGCUAUAGUCCUCCCUGGGGUCAGCCUUCAUGUAGUGACUAGCUCAGUGUAGGCAUAUUAAGGCCCCACCACUUGCCUUCAUUUGAAACAUCUCCAUAGGGCCAUUCCUGCUUUAGGUCUCAAACUAAAGGAAGUGCCUCACCACAGGAGUAACAGCUACAACUUGUAAAAAAUUAAUAAACUGAAACGUCAAUUAAAUAGAGUUGGGAGAUCAAAAAGGGGAACUUUCAUACUCUGUGAUAAAAGUGAUAGCAGAGCCCAACAGGAAGAAGAAAAACUCUUUUUUUCCUGACAAGGUUUCAGCCAAUGAAAGUCAUGGACUCUUUGUUUACUAUAACCCUCCUAAUUUCCUUUUCCCCUCUAUAAAAGCAUUCUCCUUUGCCUUGCAGUGUGAGAAUUUGUAUGUGACUCACAGGGUUGCAGAUCCUGAAUUGCACUUCUCUGCUGAUCCCAAAUAAAUCAUCUUUGCAGGGAAAUAUCUGUCUAUUUCAGGUCAACAAAGUAAUAAUCAUUUGUUAAGCAUUGGUAAAAGCCCUUUUCUAGUUUACUUUACAGAGAUUGAGAAAGCGAAUAACUGUAAUUGCUGGGUAAUAAAUUCUUUAGUGAGUUAGGUGGUUUCAAAUUUUUUGCUUUCAACAAAAUUGCAAUAGGAUCAGAUUGGGUUGUCAGAUAAUGCACAUUAGGUAUAAUUUCUGAUGAUAGCUUAUUAAGUGAUUUCUGAAUGUAACUUGGAAAAAAUCCAAAGAAUUGAGUAAAUUUCCUACAGUAAAUCUCCUUCAGUUCCCAUAUGUUUAUAUAAACAAGGUUUCACAGUUUAAUUUAUAAAACUAAAAUAAAGAUAAUGUUGGAUCUUAUCUCAUUUAGCCUGAAGUAUUAUUCAACCAAGGAUAAACAAAUUAAAGCGCCAUUCACCUCAUUAAAUUAUACUUCCAGUAAAAUUUUGCUUCUACAUAUUACUUGAUAGGUUGUAUACUGCUAAUAAUUUUUGUUGUAAUUUAAUCCAGAGAAGAUUUUUUAAUAGAGUCUUAUAGUAAUAAGAAAUAAAAUAAAGAAAUAUCAACUAAUAUAUUUAUUUUAUUGAGGGAAAUGUAAUAGGGUAAUAAUUAAAAGUUAAAAAUUUUAAAUGUUAAUUUUUUUGGAUAAAAAUCUGUGGAGGGAAAUAGAAUGGAAGUAUCAUUUCAAGGAGAAAAAGAAAUGAUAUAAAAUUUCUAACCAUUGAAGAAGUACCAACUUGUGUAUUUUAAACAAUAAAUAAUGGCAAGUAUGAAGUUUCUCCUCUUCUCUUUGGACAAAUAUUAAAGAGUUUCAGUGUUGUUUUAAAAUUGUAAUACUUACAAUAUUGCAAGGAUUAUAUAAUUUUAACUAUUUAAACAUUAGAAAACUUGUAGAUAUCAGCUUACAUAUAUGUGAGGAAAGAACAUAAUUUUUUAAAACUUCUUUUAGGGGAUAUGUAAGCAAUAAAAAUUGGUUGCUGCCCUAGAUAAAGAUGCUCCUGCUUUAUGCUCCCAUAGGAAAUUUGUAAUCUCUCAAUUGAAUUUUAUCAUAAUGUGAUAUUAAUUUGUUUUGUUCAGUGGUUUAUAAUAUCUGAAGGCAAGAACUCCUUGCUUAGCAUUGUAUCUCCAGAGCCUUCUAUGUUGCCUGAUAUAGAGCAGCUCAAUAAUAUGUAUCCUUAAGAAUCAAAACGUUAUUCAAAGUGAAGAAAGCUGAAAACAAUUUAAAUGGCCAUCAGUAGAUGAAUGGGUAAAUGUGAAUUAUGGUAAUCCACAUGUUGGAAUACUGUGGAUAUUCUAAAAACUUAUGUUAUCAAAGAAUACUUAAUAUUAAGGAGCCAGGUCAGAGUGCCAGUCUAGAUUCUGGUUUGAUCUGUCAUAGAGUUUUCCUGAAUGAAAAAAAAAAA
RNAcentral lists this long non-coding RNA (3451 nucleotides) under Sus scrofa (pig). RNAcentral's name for it is "lncRNA (ENSSSCG00045018407.1)". The record is from RNAcentral. Lineage: Eukaryota; Metazoa; Chordata; Mammalia; Artiodactyla; Suidae.